GGAGCUGUAAGUAAGCUUUGAUCCAGAGAUUUCCGAAUGGGGAAACCCAGCAUGAGUUAUGUCAUGUUAUCGAUAUGUGAAUACAUAGCAUAUCAGAAGGCACACCCGGAGAACUGAAACAUCUUAGUACCCGGAGGAAGAGAAAGAAAAUUCGAUUCCCUUAGUAGCGGCGAGCGAAACGGGAAGAGCCCAAACCAACAAGCUUGCUUGUUGGGGUUGUAGGACACUCUAUACGGAGUUACAAAGGACGACAUUAGACGAAUCAUCUGGAAAGAUGAAUCAAAGAAGGUAAUAAUCCUGUAGUCGAAAAUGUUGUCUCUCUUGAGUGGAUCCUGAGUACGACGGAGCACGUGAAAUUCCGUCGGAAUCUGGGAGGACCAUCUCCUAAGGCUAAAUACUCUCUAGUGACCGAUAGUGAACCAGUACCGUGAGGGAAAGGUGAAAAGCACCCCGGAAGGGGAGUGAAAUAGAACCUGAAACCGUGUGCUUACAAGUAGUCAGAGCCCGUUAAUGGGUGAUGGCGUGCCUUUUGUAGAAUGAACCGGCGAGUUACGAUUUGAUGCAAGGUUAAGCAGUAAAUGUGGAGCCGUAGCGAAAGCGAGUCUGAAUAGGGCGUUUAGUAUUUGGUCGUAGACCCGAAACCAGGUGAUCUACCCUUGGUCAGGUUGAAGUUCAGGUAACACUGAAUGGAGGACCGAACCGACUUACGUUGAAAAGUGAGCGGAUGAACUGAGGGUAGCGGAGAAAUUCCAAUCGAACCUGGAGAU
This 767-nucleotide ribosomal RNA is filed under the name Staphylococcus aureus. Its description in RNAcentral is "partial 23S ribosomal RNA". It matches the Rfam family "Bacterial large subunit ribosomal RNA", at positions 82 to 846 of the family's 2925-position model. Lineage: Bacteria; Bacillati; Bacillota; Bacilli; Caryophanales; Staphylococcaceae. The record is from RNAcentral.